Paramuricea clavata is the source of this 1019-nucleotide non-coding RNA. The record is from the annotation of a GenBank genome assembly. Lineage: Eukaryota; Metazoa; Cnidaria; Anthozoa; Malacalcyonacea; Plexauridae.
UUUCCCUCCUGGAAUUCCUAAUAAGUUGUGAUGUUUAUAGCUGUUAUUUUUUAUAGGUGAGUGUGAUAAAACUACGUACUUGUUAAAUAGACAGACAUCCAUUAUAUAUAUAUAUACUGUAUAUAUGUAUAUAUAUAUAUAUAUAUAUAUAUAUAUAUAUAUAUAUAUAUAUAUAUAUAUAUAUAUAUAUAUAUAUAUAUAUAUAUAUAUAUAUAUAUAUAUAUAUAUAUACCUGUAAUAUGUUAUCCGCACACACUUAAUUGACGAAACCUCCACUAUGAUCUCAAGCUGUCUAGCAUAUCUUUUUUAAUCUGUAAUUUGUAAAAAUGGUUCCAUGUUGCAAAUUAUUCCUUUUCCAAAGCUUAACUGAUAAUAUUUUCUGAAAUGCUUGGUUAUGAAGAAAAUCAUGCAAUUUUAAAGACGUUUUCGAACGGUUACUAGACCCCCUAUGAUAUGAAAAAAUGUUACAGGGAAAAUAUUUUCAUAUUAUUUUGAGAAUAAUCAUAUGUGGAAACCUGAAUAUAAUUCCUAAUGCACUGCGUCAAAACUUGUACUUGUAUUUUCCUCAAAGAUUCGAAAGUUAUCCGCAGACGGAGAGAACAUGCUAGGUUAACUGCCACGCUAGCAGUCAGCAAGUUUCUCUAGCGGGCAGCAGGCAUUCCGUUCCUCACAAACGGGCAGAAUCGAUCGUAAUUUUAUAGCAUAUAUGAAAAUAACCUGAUAGACCUAGUUAAAAUGUACGUUGUUCAUCUUUUUUAAGGAAAUAUGAUGAUGCAUUGGACAGUCUGUGAUUUAACAGGGGAAUUCUUGUUGCUGCGUGCGUUUUCCUGUAGCAAUGUAUACAUUGUUAUAAAUGUAAAACGUUUGGGGUACAUUUAUUAUUACUGAUUAUCAAAAACAACACAUAUCAAACAAGAGAAAUUAGGUUUUCAAAAUACACAUUGCAAAUGUCACGAUAUGUUUGGUCCAAUGCAUACGGAUUUAGUCCUGGCUGAAUAUCAAUACAAAUGUAAAUAGAG